AGCCAUGGGGUGAUCACAGACCGGACUAUUAUUUCGCAUUUUACUAGAGAAUACAGUGUGCUCUCCACUAAUCACGGUAUACGCCAAUUUUUGGAAGGGUGUUUCUUGGUGUCAU
Molecule: small nuclear RNA, 115 nt
Organism: Hibiscus syriacus
Lineage: Eukaryota; Viridiplantae; Streptophyta; Magnoliopsida; Malvales; Malvaceae
Product: U5 spliceosomal RNA
Exons: 1
Source: RefSeq, a predicted model, not a curated record